This is a non-coding RNA of Equus caballus (horse), 1310 nucleotides long. The record is from RefSeq and is a predicted model, not a curated record. Lineage: Eukaryota; Metazoa; Chordata; Mammalia; Perissodactyla; Equidae.
GACCCCCGAGGCGCUCGCCGAGCCAGGCUCUGGGAUCCCCGAUCCCCUUUCCUCUUCGCCGCAAGCCUUAGAGGUGGGAUGGGGCAGUCGGUAUCAUCGGCUCCAUUUUACAGCAGCAGAAACUGAGUAAAUUAACUCGCCUAGGGUCCUCACUCUGGAAAGUGGCAAAGCCAGGGUUCAAUUCGAGGUCAGGCCCCUAAACUACCUACCGACGCACCCCUCCCUGUCGUCACCUUUACAAGGCUGGAUAGGGAGGCCUGGGAGCAUAAUCUUUCUUCAGUCUGUUUCCCCCCAUCCGUCCAGAUCCUUGCCAGCCGCUGGAGCGAGCACCGGCCAGUCCGCAGUUAGGACAACCACCUGCCCGCGCGGGACCUCAUGGAGUUCAUGACCAGAGCCUUUACCAGCCGUCGGCGGUUUAUAGGAAAUCCUACUCACCUGAUGGACUAUGACACACUCCCAGAGAAGUACUGGCUCACUGACACCGCGAUGGAGGAGCCUAGGACUUACAACAACGCUACAACUGGUUCCUGUUUCCAGUACUGAACAAGGAGAAACCUUCCUGAAAAUGGAGCCUACACCGAAGGAAUAGAGUUGAGAAGUGAAGAUUAAGAAUCAAGUCCUUGUUUGAGCUCUGGAUCAAGCCUCACCUGAAGCCAAACUCAUCCUAGACUGGAUGGCCCGCACUAUGGAACCACUGGCAAAGAAGAUCUUUAAAGGAGUUUUAGUAGCUGAACUUUUCGGCAUUUUUGGAGCAUAUUUUUUGUUUACUAAGAUGAAUACAAGCCAAGAUUUCAGGCAAACGAUGAGCAAGAAAUUCCCUUUCAUCUUGGAAGUUUAUUACAAAUCCAUUGAACAGUCUGGAAUGUAUGGAAUCAGAGAGCAAGAUCAAGAAAAAUGGUUCAACAGCAAGAGUUAGGAAUUUGGCCACUGAUCAAGGUUUACCCUAUUUCAUACUAUCAGGCAAGAUUAAAAUUCCAAAGUUGACAUGGAUGGAUUUUGAAAUAUUUAAGACAAAAUGUAAAUUCUAAUUAUGUCAGAGGUUUUAUACUUUGGACUGACUGUGAAAUUGAUGGAAGCGCAAUUUCAGAACAUUUCCAUCGGCUCCAAAGGGUCCCGGUGCACCCCCACCCCGCCCCUGCCAAGAAGGCUUUGCUUUUUCCGGCUGUUGCCUUUAAACAGGCUCAUACGGUAUGUGGUUUUCUGUAUCUGGCUGCUUUCACUUCGCAUAAUAUUUCUGAGGCUCAUCCAUAUGAUAGCAUGUAUCAGUACUUCACUCCAUUUUACUGCUGAAUAAUAUCCCAUUAUUUGGG